CAACGAUGCAUAGCCGACCUGAGAGGGUGAUCGGCCACACUGGAACUGAGACACGGUCCAGACUCCUACGGGAGGCAGCAGUAGGGAAUCUUCCGCAAUGGGCGAAAGCCUGACGGAGCAACGCCGCGUGAGUGAUGAAGGUCUUCGGAUCGUAAAACUCUGUUAUUAGGGAAGAACAUAUGUGUAAGUAACUGUGCACAUCUUGACGGUACCUAAUCAGAAAGCCACGGCUAACUACGUGCCAGCAGCCGCGGUAAUACGUAGGUGGCAAGCGUUAUCCGGAAUUAUUGGGCGUAAAGCGCGCGUAGGCGGUUUUUUAAGUCUGAUGUGAAAGCCCACGGCUCAACCGUGGAGGGUCAUUGGAAACUGGAAAACUUGAGUGCAGAAGAGGAAAGUGGAAUUCCAUGUGUAGCGGUGAAAUGCGCAGAGAUAUGGAGGAACACCA
RNAcentral lists this ribosomal RNA (445 nucleotides) under Staphylococcus aureus. RNAcentral's name for it is "bacterial SSU rRNA". It matches the Rfam family "Bacterial small subunit ribosomal RNA", at positions 274 to 711 of the family's 1533-position model. The record is from RNAcentral. Lineage: Bacteria; Bacillati; Bacillota; Bacilli; Caryophanales; Staphylococcaceae.